UGUUUCGUGGUGUAGUUGGUUAUCACGUCAGUCUAGCGCACUGAAGGUCUGCGGUUAAAGUCCGGCCGAAGCCA
This is a transfer RNA of Ipomoea nil (Japanese morning glory), 74 nucleotides long. It matches the Rfam family "tRNA". From Rfam's summary of the family: Transfer RNA (tRNA) molecules are approximately 80 nucleotides in length. Their secondary structure includes four short double-helical elements and three loops (D, anti-codon, and T loops). Further hydrogen bonds mediate the characteristic L-shaped molecular structure. tRNAs have two regions of fundamental functional importance: the anti-codon, which is responsible for specific mRNA codon recognition, and the 3' end, to which the tRNAs corresponding amino acid is attached (by aminoacyl-tRNA synthetases). tRNAs cope with the degeneracy of the genetic code in two manners: having more than one tRNA (with a specific anti-codon) for a particular amino acid; and 'wobble' base-pairing, i.e. permitting non-standard base-pairing at the 3rd anti-codon position. The record is from Rfam. Lineage: Eukaryota; Viridiplantae; Streptophyta; Magnoliopsida; Solanales; Convolvulaceae.